GGCUUGUAACUAAUGUAGAACCGGCUUUACGGUCAACUUUAAAGCUUAAUAUUUCGGUUCGCGAAAGUAUGAUAUUUUACUGCCGGAUUCUUUCGUUUCAUGCAAAGAUACUACAAAUGAGCAUAAUUUUAUUAAAAUUGAAGCAUGCUUACACUCAUCAUCUGAAUUGCACUAGGUCAGUUCUAGUGCAAUACUUAUGCAGGAAUAGAAAAACUUUAGGCCACUGUUACGCCGAUUUACGCCAGACUGACACAAACAGAAUGCUCUGAUUACAAGUCAGGAUUACUUAGGACCACACCUGGAUUCAUCCUGCAAUGACAUCGAUGAGAUUUUUCAUGGCGAAAAAAUAUUCUGAUCGAGACCCUCCGAGCUAAAUUGAAUAACAAUGGAGAACAAUCUGGAGAUUAUCCUGCCUCAUGUCUGUAACUGUGAUAGUGUCUGAAGUAUGGCCUCAUUGCUACCAGUCAUUGCUACCAAUAGAAAUCCAGAUUCUAAUUGAUUUAAUAUAUAGAAAGAUAAAGCUAAAUCAGCCUUAUAUGAGAGUUUUCUUGAAAAAAUCUGAAAAUUAUAAAACGAACUGAAAAGAGCA
This is a long non-coding RNA of Acromyrmex echinatior (Panamanian leafcutter ant), 589 nucleotides long. The record is from RefSeq and is a predicted model, not a curated record. NCBI's taxonomy places the organism in Eukaryota, Metazoa, Arthropoda, Insecta, Hymenoptera, Formicidae.